This is a long non-coding RNA of Oncorhynchus keta (chum salmon), 376 nucleotides long. RefSeq lists it as uncharacterized. Lineage: Eukaryota; Metazoa; Chordata; Actinopteri; Salmoniformes; Salmonidae. The record is from RefSeq and is a predicted model, not a curated record. The transcript has 3 exons.
CAGGGUUCAGAGGUGACAGAGGAGAGGUCAGGGUUCAGAGGUGACAGGAGGUGGUCAGGGUUCAGAGGUGACAGAGGAGGUGCUCAGGGUUCAGAGGUGACAGAGAGGAGGUGGUCAGGGUUCAGAGGUGACAGAGGAGAGGUCAGGGUUCAGAGGUGACAGAGAGGAGGUGGUCAGGGUUCAGAGGUGACAGAGAGGAGGUGGUCAGGGUUCAGAGGUGACAGAGAGGAGGUGGUCAGGGUUCAGAGGUGACAGAGGAGAGGUGGUCAGGGUACAGAGGUGACAGGAGAUCAGGGGUCAUUCAGGGAGUAUUCAGACCCCUUCCCUUUUCCACAUGUUGCCUUAUUCUAAAAUGGAUUAAAAAAUGUAUUAAAAU